UACAGAGGUCUCAAGCGUUGUUCGGAUUCAUUGGGCGUAAAGGGUGCGUAGGUGGCGCCGUAAGUCAGUUGUGAAAUCUCGGGGCUCAACCCCGAAACUGCACUUGAUACUGCGGUGCUCGAGUACUGGAGAGGAGAUUGGAAUUUACGGUGUAGCAGUGAAAUGCGUAGAUAUCGUAAGGAAGACCAGUGGCGAAGGCGAAUCUCUGGACAGUUACUGACACUGAGGCACGAAGGCCAGGGGAGCAAACGGG
RNAcentral lists this ribosomal RNA (253 nucleotides) under uncultured bacterium. Its description in RNAcentral is "partial 16S ribosomal RNA". It matches the Rfam family "Bacterial small subunit ribosomal RNA", at positions 524 to 776 of the family's 1533-position model. The record is from RNAcentral.